Molecule: ribosomal RNA, 497 nt
Filed under: uncultured bacterium
Lineage: Bacteria
Description: partial 16S ribosomal RNA
Rfam family: Bacterial small subunit ribosomal RNA
Source: RNAcentral
GAUGAACGCUGGCGGCGUGCCUAAUACAUGCAAGUCGAGCGAACGGACGAGAAGCUUGCUUCUCUGACGUUAGCGGCGGACGGGUGAGUAACACGUGGAUAACCUACCUAUAAGACUGGGAUAACUUCGGGAAACCGGAGCUAAUACCGGAUAAUAUAUUGAACCGCAUGGUUCAAUAGUGAAAGACGGUUUUGCUGUCACUUAUAGAUGGAUCCGCGCCGCAUUAGCUAGUUGGUAAGGUAACGGCUUACCAAGGCCACGAUGCAUAGCCGACCUGAGAGGGGUAACCGGCCACCUGGAAACGAGGCAACGUCCCGACUUCCAAGGGGAGGCAGCAGAAGGAAUCCUCCGGCAUGGGCCAAAGCCUUAACGAGGCAAGGCGGGUGGGUUAAGAAGGUCUUUGGAUUGUUAAACUCCUUUAUUAGGGAAGAAAAAAAGUGGAAGUAACUGUGCACAUUCUGAAGGUAACCAAACCGAAAGGCAACGCUAAACUACGG